CCCGCCCGGUGGAGCAUGUGGUUUAAUUCGAAGCAACGCGAAGAACCUUACCAGGUCUUACAUCCUCUGACAAUCCUAGAGAUAGGACGUCCCCUUCGGGGGCAGAGUGACAGGUGGUGCAAAAAAGUCAGCUCGUGUCGUGAGAUGUUGGGUUAAGUCCCGCAACGAGCGCAACCCUUGAUCUUAGUUGCCAGCAUUCAGUUGGGCACUCUAAGGUGACUGCCGGUGACAAACCGGAGGAAGGUGGGGAUGACGUCAAAUCAUCAUGCCCCUUAUGACCUGGGCUACACACGUGCUACAAUGGCAGAACAAAGGGCGGGAAACCGCGAGGUUAAG
RNAcentral lists this ribosomal RNA (336 nucleotides) under Bacillus sp. (in: firmicutes). RNAcentral's name for it is "bacterial SSU rRNA". It matches the Rfam family "Bacterial small subunit ribosomal RNA", at positions 930 to 1267 of the family's 1533-position model. Lineage: Bacteria; Bacillati; Bacillota; Bacilli; Caryophanales; Bacillaceae. The record is from RNAcentral.